Molecule: ribosomal RNA, 567 nt
Filed under: uncultured Glomus
Lineage: Eukaryota; Fungi; Glomeromycota; Glomeromycetes; Glomerales; Glomeraceae
Description: eukaryotic LSU rRNA
Rfam family: 5.8S ribosomal RNA (bases 167-320)
Source: RNAcentral
GGAAGUAAAAGUCGUAACAAGGUUUCCGUAGGUGAACCUGCGGAAGGAUCAUUAAUGAUUUUUUAAGCAAACCGAGCGAAAGCGAGGUUUUGCGAAUAUAUUUAAAACCCCCCACUCUUUAUAAAAGAAAAAAUUUUUCAUAUUCAUAAAUGGAUAAAAAAAAGAUCACUUUCAACAACGGAUCUCUUGGCUCUCGCAUCGAUGAAGAACACAGCGAAAUGCGAUAAGUAGUGUAAAUUGCAGAAUUACGUGAAUCAUCGAAUCUUUGAACGCAUAUUGCACUUUCUGGUAUUCCGGAAAGUAUGCCUGUUUGAGGGUCAGUUAAAUAAAAAUCGGUGUUGUUGCUGCCUUUCGUGGUGACGCGUCGGAAUUGAGUUGUCUUACCUUCGGUUAAGUGACUUAAAAUUUUGUAUGAUUUUCGAACGUAUUUAAAUUUAUUUGAACGUUUGAUAUCGAAUGCUUAUUAGGUUCGGUUAUCCUCAUGACUCGCGCCUAUAAUUUUUCAUUAAAUGACCUCAAAUCAGGUAAGAAUACCCGCUGAACUUAAGCAUAUCAAUAAGCGGAGGA